GGGUAGUUAGCUCAUCUGGUAGAGCGCCGGUCUCCAAAACCGGAGGUGGCAGGUUCGAGACCUGCACGACCCG
This 73-nucleotide transfer RNA is filed under the name Leucobacter albus. Its description in RNAcentral is "tRNA-Trp". It matches the Rfam family "tRNA". From Rfam's summary of the family: Transfer RNA (tRNA) molecules are approximately 80 nucleotides in length. Their secondary structure includes four short double-helical elements and three loops (D, anti-codon, and T loops). Lineage: Bacteria; Bacillati; Actinomycetota; Actinomycetes; Micrococcales; Microbacteriaceae. The record is from RNAcentral. RNAcentral also lists the same sequence under 2 other names.